CGGUACCACAUGAUCGGUCAC
Molecule: non-coding RNA, 21 nt
Filed under: Arabidopsis thaliana (thale cress)
Lineage: Eukaryota; Viridiplantae; Streptophyta; Magnoliopsida; Brassicales; Brassicaceae
Source: RNAcentral